GAAGGUAUUGGAACAUGAGGAUGGCAUGGCUUUAUGAAGUCCAUCUCUGUAUCCUUCUUUAGAUUUGCAUGUGAGAACCUUGGAGGACUUUGGGGAAGAUCCGGUUGUACAAGGACUCAGAGAAGCAGGUCUUGCAGUCACAUCCCACUGAAGUUCUAUGUAACUCCCAAAUAUCAGGAAAGAGAUGGAGUUUAGAAAACAAGGGAGCAACCUUGGAAGUAUAUGGCACAGUCAGGGGGCUCUGUAGCAGGAUGCCAAGAAUCUCAUAUAAAGAAUACCAUGACAGAUAUCAUCUUAUGUCAUGAACCCAGAGAUGCUUUGGAAGCCAGCAAGCUGCAGCAAUCCUCCUGUCUCCACCUCUCAUGAUGUUGGGGCUACAGGAUAAUCAUGUCAUUCUUGGAAAAGAAAAUUGACCACAAACAAAAUAAGCCACUGGAAGAGGGUGAACCGCACUGCACCUGAUUUCUAUGAGCCCGUCAACCAGUGGUGAAUAUUAAACUUGAUAUUGCAAGA
Molecule: non-coding RNA, 513 nt
Organism: Rattus norvegicus (Norway rat)
Lineage: Eukaryota; Metazoa; Chordata; Mammalia; Rodentia; Muridae
Source: RefSeq, a predicted model, not a curated record